This 374-nucleotide ribosomal RNA is filed under the name uncultured eukaryote. RNAcentral's name for it is "partial 18S ribosomal RNA". It matches the Rfam family "Eukaryotic small subunit ribosomal RNA", at positions 592 to 976 of the family's 1831-position model. The record is from RNAcentral.
UAAUAGUGUAUAUUAAAGUUGUUGCAGUUAAAAAGCUCGUAGUUGAAUGUUGGUGUCGAACGAGCGGUCAGCUUCGGCUGUACUGCUCUCUCGACUCCUUCCUUCUGUGGACUACGUCGCACUUUACUGUGUGGCGCUAGGACGCAGAUCGUUUACUGUGAAAAAAUUAGGGUGUUCAAAGCAGGCCGUACGCUUGAAUACAUUAGCAUGGAAUAAUGGAAUAGGACGUCGGGCCUAUUUUGUUGGUUCUAGGACCGUCGUAAUGAUUAAUAGGGACAGUUGGGGCCGUUUAUAUUCCGUAGUCAGAGGUGAAAUUCUUGGAUUUACGGAAGAUAAACUACUGCGAAAGCAUUCGGCAAGGAUGUUUUCGUUAA